UGGAUUAGGCAUGCAAGUCAAACGAAUCCCAGCUUUGUAGCAAUACCGAGCUGGGGGAAGUGGCGAAAGGGGCAGUAAUGCGUGGGUAAUCUACCUCGUGGACGUGGAUAGCCAUCCUAACGGGUGGGUAAUACGCGGCGAUUUGGUCGAGGGGCAUCCCUUGGCCAGGAAAUGAAUUUCGCCUCGAGAGGAACUCACGUGAUAUUAGCUUGUUGGCGGGGUAAUGGCCCACCAAGGCAAAGAUGUCUAGCGGGUGUGAGAGCACGACCCGCGCCACUGGCACUGAGACACUGGCCAGACACCUACGGGUGGCUGCAGUCGAGGAUCUUUGGCAAUGAGCGCAAGCUUGACCAAGCGACGCCGCGUGUGCGAUGAAGGCCUUCGGGUUGUAAAGCACUGUCGAGGGGGACGAAGCCGAAAGGUUGACCGAUCCCUGGAGGAAGCACGGGCUAAGUUCGUGCCAGCAGCCGCGGUAAGACGAACCGUGCGAACGUUGUUCGGAAUCACUGGGCUUAAAGGGCGCGUAGGCGGCUUGCCAAGUCCGGGGUGAAAUCCUGCAGCUUAACUGUAGAAGGGCCCUGGAUACCGGCGAGCUCGAGGGAGGUAGGGGUGCGUGGAACUUCUGGUGGAGCGGUGAAAUGCGUUGAUAUCAGAAGGAACGCCGGUGGCGAAAGCGACGCACUGGAUCUCUACUGACGCUGAGGCGCGAAAGCUAGGGGAGCAAACGGGAUUAGAUACCUCGGUAGUCC
RNAcentral lists this ribosomal RNA (749 nucleotides) under uncultured Planctomycetaceae bacterium. RNAcentral's name for it is "bacterial SSU rRNA". It matches the Rfam family "Bacterial small subunit ribosomal RNA", at positions 45 to 796 of the family's 1533-position model. Lineage: Bacteria; Pseudomonadati; Planctomycetota; Planctomycetia; Planctomycetales; Planctomycetaceae. The record is from RNAcentral.